This 225-nucleotide ribosomal RNA is filed under the name uncultured bacterium. RNAcentral's name for it is "partial 16S ribosomal RNA". It matches the Rfam family "Bacterial small subunit ribosomal RNA", at positions 1267 to 1500 of the family's 1533-position model. The record is from RNAcentral.
GCGGAUCUCGAAAGCCUGUCCCAGUUCGGACUGGAGUCUGCAACCCGACUCCACGAAGUUGGAUUCGCUAGUAAUCGCGCAUCAGCCAUGGCGCGGUGAAUACGUUCCCGGGCCUUGUACACACCGCCCGUCAAGCCAUGGGAGCCGGGGGCGCCUGAAGUCCGGGACCGCGAGGACCGGCCUAGGGCGAAACUGGUAACUGGGGCUAAGUCGUAACAAGGUACC